CUCAAUAAAACUUUUGCUAACCUAGGUAGCAAAAGGCACCUUUGGUUACCUGAGUGGGCAG
Dasypus novemcinctus (nine-banded armadillo) is the source of this 61-nucleotide unclassified non-coding RNA. The record is from Ensembl. Lineage: Eukaryota; Metazoa; Chordata; Mammalia; Cingulata; Dasypodidae.